CUACGGAAGGCAGCAGUGGGGAAUUUUGGGCAAUGGGCGAAAGCCUGACCCAGCAACGCCGCGUGAGGGAUGAAGGCCUUCGGGUUGUAAACCUCUUUUCUCAGGGACGAUGAUGACGGUACCAGAGGAAGAAGCCACGGCUAACUACGUGCCAGCAGCCGCGGUAAUACGUAGGUGGCGAGCGUUGUCCGGAUUUACUGGGCGUAAAGAGCGCGCAGGCGGUCGUUCAAGUCGAAUGUGAAAGCCCCCGGCUCAACUGGGGAGGGUCAUUCGAUACUGAUCGACUCGAAGGCAGGAGAGGGAAGCGGAAUUCCCGGUGUAGUGGUGAAAUGCGUAGAUAUCGGGAGGAACACCAGUGGCGAAGGCGGCUUCCUGGCCUGUUCUUGACGCUGAGGCGCGAAAGCUAGGGGAGCAAACGGGAUUAGAUACCCGAGUA
RNAcentral lists this ribosomal RNA (436 nucleotides) under uncultured bacterium. RNAcentral describes it as "bacterial SSU rRNA". It matches the Rfam family "Bacterial small subunit ribosomal RNA", at positions 339 to 792 of the family's 1533-position model. The record is from RNAcentral.